CCCAGCCCCUUCCCAGUCCAUACUGGGAGCCCUUAUCCCUUCCCAGUACGGACUGGGACAGCCCUUACCCUUCCCCAGUCCACACUGGGAAGCCUCCAGCCCCUUCCCAGUUCAUACUGGGAGCCCUUAUCCCUUCCCAGUACAGACUGGAACCGCCCUAACCCUUCCCCAGUCCACACUGGGAGUCCCCCAGUUCAUACUGGGAGCUCCCAGCCCCUUCCCAGUCCAUACUGGGAGCCUCUAUCCCUUCCCAGUAUGGACUGGGACACCCACCUCCCUUCCCCAGUCCACACUUGCCCCCCCCAGCCCCUUCCCAGUCCAUACUGGGAGCCCUUAUCCCUUCCCAGUACAGACUGGGACCGCCCUUACCCUUCCCCAGUCCACACUGGGAAGCCCCCAGCCCCUUCCCAGUUCAUACUGGGAGCCCCCCAAACCGACACUGGUGGGCAUCAGGUUUAUUCGCAUCAUCGGCACCUCACAGACCCCCGGAUGCCUCCCAGUAUGGGGGGGGUACUGGGAGGGGAGCACCUCCCAGUAUGGGGGUGGUACUGGGAGGGGAGGCAAUAAAUAAGGAAGGGGGGGGUUGGGCCAGGAACUGGUUUGUAGUGGUCCAUACUGGGAGAAACCGUAUGUGCAUUGAAACGCCAGUCAGGGUGCCCUACCAGUCCGUACUGGUCCACACUGGUCCAUACUGAGAGGACACAAGGCCACGGCGGGUGAAGAUAUCCCGGGCAAGACGGCUGUAACUGGUCCAUACUGGUUCCAUACUGGGAGGAGGCAAGGCCACGGCGGGUGAAGAGAUCCCGGUCGAGAUGCUGGAACUGGUCCAUACUGGUCCAUACUGGGAGGAGGCAAGGCCACGGCGGGUGAAGAGAUCCCAGGCGAGAUGCUUGAACUGGUCCAUACUGGGAAGACGCAAGGCCACGGGGGUGAAGAGCUCCCAGUUGGGCCGCCGUACUGGUCCAUACUGGUCCGUACUGGGACGGCCGAAGGCCGUGUCAAGGCAGUGGUCCCAGUUGGGACGCCGUACUGGUUUGUACUGGUCCAACCCAAGGCGAUGCACACGUGGGGCUCCCAGUUGGGCCUCCGGACUUUUUACUGGUCCAUACUGGUCUGGCCUGAGGCGACGUAGAUCCAAGGAGUUCCCAGCUGGGUCGUUGGUAAUGGUUCAUACUGGUCUAUACUGGGAUGCCCCCAAGGUGGGGGCGUUCCCCAGCACUGGGCUGUACUGGUCCAAACUGGGGCGUCUCCAGACCCAACGGUGGGGAUCUAUGGGGUUCUGUGGGGCCCAAGGGGUCCCCGAGGAGAUCUAUGGGUCCCUGAGGACAUCUAUGGGGUGUCCAAAGAGAUCUAUGGGUCCCUGAGGACAUCUAUGGGGUCCCCAAAGAGGACCUAUGGGUCCCCAGGAGAUGUUUAUGGGGUCUCCACAGCCCCACACGUCCCCACGUUGACCUAGGGCUCCCCAUGUUGACUUAGGGGUCUCCAAAGAGGACCUAUGGGUCCCCAAGGACGUCUAUGGGUCCCCAAAGAGGUCCUACAGGUCCCCAGGAGAUGUCUACGAGGUCCUCACAUUGCCCCACGCAUCUCCAUGUUGACUUAGGGGUCCCCAAAGAGGACCUACGGGUCCCCAGGAGAUGUUUAUGGGGUCCCCACAGCCCCACACGUCCCCAUGUUGACCUAGGGCUCCCGAUGGUGGCCUAGAGGUCCCCAGAGAUGUCUACAAGGUCCUCACAUUGCCCCACACAUCUCCAUGUUGACUUAGGGGUCCCCAAAGAGGACUUAUGGGUCCCCAAGGACGUCUAGGGGUCCCCAAAGAGGUCCUACAGCUCCCCACGAGAUGUCUAUGGGGUCCCCACAGCCCCACACGUCCCCAUGUUGACCUAGGGCUCCCCAUGGUGGCCUAGAGGUCCCCAGAGAUGUCUACAAGGUCCUCACAUUGCCCCACACAUCUCCAUGUUGACUUAGGAGUCCCCAAAGAGGACUUAUGGGUCCCCAAGGACGUCUAGGGGUCCCCAAAGAGGUCCUACAGCUCCCCACGAGAUGUCUAUGGGGUCCCCACAGCCCCACACGUCCCCACGUUGACCUAGAGCUCCCCAAAGAAGCCCCCCAGCUCCUCACCUGGCGUCCACGGAGAACCCACCUUCUCCCCCAUGUCCUCGGGGGGGUCCCAGCAGGCCC
This 2178-nucleotide long non-coding RNA is filed under the name Calidris pygmaea (Spoon-billed sandpiper). RNAcentral describes it as "lncRNA (ENSCPGG00000009038.1)". Lineage: Eukaryota; Metazoa; Chordata; Aves; Charadriiformes; Scolopacidae. The record is from RNAcentral.